AUCCAACUGACGAGUUCCAAACAAAAAGAAACGCGCGUCCUUGAU
This 45-nucleotide non-coding RNA is filed under the name Schistosoma curassoni. Lineage: Eukaryota; Metazoa; Platyhelminthes; Trematoda; Strigeidida; Schistosomatidae. The record is from RNAcentral.